CCUACGGGUGGCAGCAGUGAGGAAUAUUGGUCAAUGGACGAGAGUCUGAACCAGCCAAGUCGCGUGAGGGAUGACUGCCCUAUGGGUUGUAAACUUCUUUUAUCGGGGAAUAAAAUGCUCCACGCGUGGCAUUCUGUAAGUACCCUAAGAAUAAGGAUCGGCUAACUCCGUGCCAGCAGCCGCGGUAAUACGGAGGAUGCGAGCGUUAUCCGGAUUUAUUGGGUUUAAAGGGGGCGCAGGGGGAUGAUAAAGUCAGUGGUAAAAUUGUGAGGCUCAACCUCAAAGUGCCGUUGAAACUGGGAUUCUUGAGUACAGGAGAGGUGUGCGGAAUGCGUGGUGUAGCGGUGAAAUGCUUAGAUAUCACGAAGAACUCCGAUUGCGAAGGCAGUUCACUGGACCUCAACUGACGCUGAGGCUCGAAAGUGUGGGUAUCGAACAGGAUUAGAUACCCCAGUAGUC
RNAcentral lists this ribosomal RNA (459 nucleotides) under uncultured bacterium. Its description in RNAcentral is "partial 16S ribosomal RNA". It matches the Rfam family "Bacterial small subunit ribosomal RNA", at positions 338 to 795 of the family's 1533-position model. The record is from RNAcentral.